Long non-coding RNA from Drosophila serrata, 1009 nucleotides. The record is from RefSeq and is a predicted model, not a curated record. NCBI's taxonomy places the organism in Eukaryota, Metazoa, Arthropoda, Insecta, Diptera, Drosophilidae.
AUGCCAAUAGUCCUCGCCAUCUUUCUUCCGCGUGUGUGUGAUUUUCAUUGCCGAAAUAAAAAAUUAGUUUUUAGUGUAAUCCUUUGAUAAAAUAACCCAAAAAGUCUUGAAAUAUACAGAUGAUCGUGCAGACUAAUUACGCCUGCGGCACCUUGGGUUUGGCUAAUAAGAACGAACAAGUGAGCUGCAACACCACACGGCUGUUGUGUGUGUGGACAGGACAAUACUACUGCUGCUGCAGCACCACUUCACUACCUGUUACGCCUGCGGCACCUUGGGUUUGGCUAAUAAGAACGAACAAGUGAGCUGCAACACUACACGGCUGUUGUGUGUGUGGACGGGACAAUACUACUGCUGCUGCAGCGCCACUUCACUACCUGUUUCGCCUGCGGCACCUUGGGUAUGUGGAUCUUUUGGCUAAUAAGCAAGAGCAAGUGAGUAAGCUGCGGACACCAGACAGCUGUUGCGUGUGCUCCUGUGGACGCGACGAGACUGCUGCUGCUGUAGCAGCACUUCAUUACAGGAUAAUUGAAUACGUGCGAUGAUAAUUUCAUUUUCCGCUUUAUAAACACAACUUCUGCUGCCCCUCCCCUCCCGCUCUUUUGACGUGGCAAUUAGUGAGCGCCCACAAGCCAAUAUGGGCGGGGGCGGGUGGUCUGCAACCUAAUUAUCCGCCUGGACGAACGUGGUCUGUGUUCCAUACAUAUAAAUAUACAUACGAAUACGACAUACGUAUUUAAAUUGUGCAUAACUUAAGAACAGGGCACAGAUCAUAAAAUAUCGAUUGCCGUCAGCCUACGCAAAAAAAUCUGCUAAUAAAGAUCCCAAAAUGAAAAUAAAUGUAUAAAAAGAAGAUAACGAACGAUUACAGAGCACAUAUAAUGCACAAACCUCAAAUGGACUUCCUCAAUACAAGUGUGCUGGAUAAAAAGGGAUUUGUGGCAUGGAUGCAAUACUUCAUAUCUCGGCCUGGCAUUCAUCACAUUUUGCUCUCAUGUAAGUCCAACGG